AUGCAACGCGAAGAACCUUACCUGGUCUUGACAUCCCGGAGACCCUUAGGAACUAGGGGGUGGCUUCCAUCUGGAAGAAUCUGGAGACAGGUGGCUGCAUGGCUGUCGUCAGCUCGUGUCGUGAGAUGUUGGGUUAAGUCCCGCAACGAGCGCAACCCUUGCCUUUAGUUGCCAGCAGUUCGGCUGGGCACUCUAAAGGGACUGCCGGUGUUAAACCGGAGGAAGGUGGGGAUGACGUCAAGUCCUCAUGGCCUUUAUGACCAGGGCUACACACGUACUACAAUGGCCGAUACAAAGGGCAGCGACACUGCGAGGUGAAGCCAAUCCCGUAAAAUCGGUCUCAGUCCGGAUUGGAGUCUGCAACUCGACUCCAUGAAGUUGGAAUCGCUAGUAAUCGUGGAUCAGCAUGCCACGGUGAAUACGUUCCCGGGCCUU
RNAcentral lists this ribosomal RNA (435 nucleotides) under uncultured Desulfobulbus sp. RNAcentral's name for it is "bacterial SSU rRNA". It matches the Rfam family "Bacterial small subunit ribosomal RNA", at positions 954 to 1382 of the family's 1533-position model. The record is from RNAcentral. Lineage: Bacteria; Pseudomonadati; Thermodesulfobacteriota; Desulfobulbia; Desulfobulbales; Desulfobulbaceae.